This 446-nucleotide ribosomal RNA is filed under the name uncultured bacterium. RNAcentral's name for it is "partial 16S ribosomal RNA". It matches the Rfam family "Bacterial small subunit ribosomal RNA", at positions 338 to 795 of the family's 1533-position model. The record is from RNAcentral.
CCUACGGGUGGCAGCAGUCGAGAAUCAUUCACAAUGGGGGAAACCCUGAUGGUGCGACGCCGCGUGGGGGAAUGAAGGUCUUCGGAUUGUAAACCCCUGUCAUGUGGGAGCAAAUUAAAAAGAUAGUACCACAAGAGUAAGAGACGGCUAACUCUGUGCCAGCAGCCGCGGUAAUACAGAGGUCUCAAGCGUUGUUCGGAAUCACUGGGCGUAAGGCGUGCGUAGGCUGUUUCGUAAGUCGUGUGUGAAAGGCGCGGGCUCAACCCGCGGACGGCACAUGAUACUGCGAGACUAGAGUAAUGGAGGGGGAACCGGAAUUCUCGGUGUAGCAGUGAAAUGCGUAGAUAUCGAGAGGAACACUCGUGGCGAAGGCGGGUUCCUGGACAUUAACUGACGCUGAGGCACGAAGGCCAGGGGAGCGAAAGGGAUUAGAUACCCGUGUAGUC